AUUGAACGCUGGCGGCAGGCCUAACACAUGCAAGUCGAACGGUAACAGGAAACAGCUUGCUGUUUCGCUGACGAGUGGCGGACGGGUGAGUAAUGUCUGGGAAACUGCUUGAUGGAGGGGGAUAACUACUGGAAACGGUAGCUAAUACCGCAUAACGUCGCAAGACCAAAGAGGGGGACCUUCGGGCCUCUUGCCAUCGGAUGUGCCCAGAUGGGAUUAGCUAGUAGGUGGGGUAACGGCUCACCUAGGCGACGAUCCCUAGCUGGUCUGAGAGGAUGACCAGCCACACUGGAACUGAGACACGGUCCAGACUCCUACGGGAGGCAGCAGUGGGGAAUAUUGCACAAUGGGCGCAAGCCUGAUGCAGCCAUGCCGCGUGUAUGAAGAAGGCCUUCGGGUUGUAAAGUACUUUCAGCGGGGAGGAAGGGAGUAAAGUUAAUACCUUUGCUCAUUGACGUUACCCGCAGAAGAAGCACCGGCUAACUCCGUG
This 490-nucleotide ribosomal RNA is filed under the name uncultured bacterium. Its description in RNAcentral is "partial 16S ribosomal RNA". It matches the Rfam family "Bacterial small subunit ribosomal RNA", at positions 30 to 507 of the family's 1533-position model. The record is from RNAcentral.